GUGACCUCAAAUCAGGUAGGACUACCCGCUGAACUUAAGCAUAUCAAUAAGCGGAGGAAAAGAAACUAACAAGGAUUCCCCUAGUAACUGCGAGUGAAGCGGGAAAAGCUCAAAUUUAAAAUCUGGCGGUCUUUUGGCUGUCCGAGUUGUAAUCUAGAGAAGUGUUAUCCGCGCUGGACCGUGUACAAGUCUCCUGGAAUGGAGCAUCAUAGAGGGUGAGAAUCCCGUCUUUGACAUGGACUGCCAGGGCUUUUGUGAUGCGCUCUCAAAGAGUCGAGUUGUUUGGGAAUGCAGCUCAAAAUGGGUGGUAAAUUCCAUCUAAAGCUAAAUAUUGGCGAGAGACCGAUAGCGAACAAGUACCGUGAGGGAAAGAUGAAAAGAACUUUGGAAAGAGAGUUAAACAGUACGUGAAAUUGCUGAAAGGGAAACGCUUGAAGUCAGUCGCGUCGUCCAGGGAUCAACCUUGCUUUUGCUUGGUGCACUUUCUGGUUUGACGGGUCAGCAUCAAUUUUGACCAUUGGAAAAAGAUCGAGGGAAUGUGGCAUCUUUGGAUGUGUUUAUAGCCCUUGGUCGCAUACAAUGGUUCGGGAUUGAGGAACUCAGCACGCCGCAAGGCCGGGUGUAACAGCCACGUACGUGCUAGGAUGUG
Molecule: ribosomal RNA, 649 nt
Filed under: Cortinarius paragaudis
Lineage: Eukaryota; Fungi; Basidiomycota; Agaricomycetes; Agaricales; Cortinariaceae
Description: eukaryotic LSU rRNA
Rfam family: Eukaryotic large subunit ribosomal RNA
Source: RNAcentral